RNAcentral lists this ribosomal RNA (291 nucleotides) under uncultured prokaryote. RNAcentral's name for it is "partial 16S ribosomal RNA". It matches the Rfam family "Bacterial small subunit ribosomal RNA", at positions 505 to 796 of the family's 1533-position model. The record is from RNAcentral.
GUGCCAGCAGCCGCGGUAAUACGUAGGGGGCAAGCGUUAUCCGGAAUAACUGGGCGUAAAGGGUGCGUAGGCGGCCCUGCAAGUCAGAAGUGAAAGGCUACGGCUCAACCGUAGUAAGCUUUUGAAACUGUAGGGCUUGAGUGCAGGAGAGGAGAGUAGAAUUCCUAGCGUAGCGGUGAAAUGCGUAGAUAUUAGGAGGAAUACCAGUUGCGAAGGCGGCUCUCUGGACUGUAACUGACGCUGAGGCACGAAAGCGUGGGGAGCGAACAGGAUUAGAAACCCGGGUAGUCC